This 482-nucleotide ribosomal RNA is filed under the name uncultured bacterium. Its description in RNAcentral is "partial 16S ribosomal RNA". It matches the Rfam family "Bacterial small subunit ribosomal RNA", at positions 28 to 507 of the family's 1533-position model. The record is from RNAcentral.
GACGAACGCUGGCGGCGUGCUUAACACAUGCAAGUCGAACGCUGAAGCUCAGCUUGCUGGGUGGAUGAGUGGCGAACGGGUGAGUAACACGUGAGUAACCUGCCCUCUUCUCUGGGAUAACGCCCGGAAACGGGUGCUAAUACUGGAUAUUCACUGAUUCUCGCAUGGGGGUUGGUGGAAAGGUUUUUUCUGGUGGGGGAUGGGCUCGCGGCCUAUCAGCUUGUUGGUGGGGUGAUGGCCUACCAAGGCUUUGACGGGUAGCCGGCCUGAGAGGGUGACCGGUCACAUUGGGACUGGGAUACGGCCCAGACUCCUACGGGAGGCAGCAGUGGGGAAUAUUGCACAAUGGGCGAAAGCCGGAUGCAGCGACGCGGCGUGAGGGAUGGAGGCCUUCGGGUUGUAAACCUCUUUCGCUCAUGGUCAAGCCGCAGCUUUGGGUUGUGGUGAGGGUAGUGGGUAAAGAAGCGCCGGCUAACUACGUG